This 306-nucleotide ribosomal RNA is filed under the name Triticum aestivum (bread wheat). RNAcentral describes it as "partial small subunit ribosomal RNA". The record is from RNAcentral. Lineage: Eukaryota; Viridiplantae; Streptophyta; Magnoliopsida; Poales; Poaceae.
AUGGCAAUAAAAGUUCAAUAUUGCCAUGGCGAUUUAGGUAAAUUUGCCAUGUUAAUAAAAGUCCAAAAAAUAGUAAAACUUGCCAUGGCAAUAAAAGUUCAAUAUUGCCAUGGCGAUUUAGGUAAAUUUGCCAUGUUAAUAAAAGUCCAAAAAAUAGUAAAACUUGCCAUGGCAAUAAAAGUUAAAUAUUGCCAUGGGGACUUAGGUGAAUUUGCCAUGUUAAUAAAGGUAAAUUUGCCAUGGAAAAUAAAUAGUAAAACUUGCCAUGGCAAUAAAUUGUUAAAAUUGCCAUGGGGAUUUAGGUAA